This is an RNA transcript of Chiroxiphia lanceolata (lance-tailed manakin), 1950 nucleotides long. It is a transcript of the gene named coiled-coil domain containing 172, with no coding region annotated. The record is from RefSeq and is a predicted model, not a curated record. NCBI's taxonomy places the organism in Eukaryota, Metazoa, Chordata, Aves, Passeriformes, Pipridae. The transcript is spliced from 10 exons.
GCUCGUUUUCAUUCUCUGUUUCCCAUCCCCAGCCAGUCACCCACAUUUCCCUCUGCCCGAGGUUCCCUCUCAGUCCCCUGCUUUCUGCAGCCCUCACCUCCCCUUGUGUCCCCUCUUCCCCCUCAGCCAUGUCCCGUCUGCCCUGGUCGCUCCCUUCUGUUCGCAGCCCCAGGGAGGCGAAGGCCGAGGGCAGAGCGCUGAGGGCAGAGCGCUGAGGGCAGAGCGCUGAGGGCAGAGCGCUGAGGGCAGAGCGCUGAGGGCAGGGCUGUGGCCGGACCCAGCCUCACCUUGCUGCGGGCACCGCAGCGCUCACCAGCCAGCCCUCACAAAGGCAGCACGGGCUCCACGAGAAGGCAGAAAUGAACCUGGAUGCUUUGUUCCAGCAAAUACAGUUCACAGAGAAGCAGGCGAGGGAGAAGAGGCACUUCAUCCAGCAAGCUAAAUGUGACAUAAACAGAAGCUAUGAAAAAAUUAACCAAAUAAAAGAAGAGCUGAGCGCUGCAAAAGUUAACUUAGAAACUAAGGUUCAGCAUCUGUCUGAAAAGCAGUUCUACUUAGAAAUUCUGAAGAAACGUGAAGAUAGCUUAGAAAAACAGAAAGCUGAACUUAUUAAUCAAAAAAGCAGUCUUCUUAAAAUCUUGACAGAUGCAAAGAGAAAAAUUGCUGAAGAGGAAGAUAAUUUUACCAGAGAAGUAACAGAGUUUAACAAUGAAUAUGGACUAGCAAGUAAUAGAGAUCUUCUGAUUAAAAAAAAAGUCAAGACUGAAAUAAAGGAUUUAGAGAAUGAGGCAGCGCUGCUGAAAAAUGAAAUGGAGUCAAUGGAACACAAAAAUGUCCAGUUAAAUGCACUCCAGCUGCAGAAGAAUGAGUUAAAGCAGGAUUUAUUUACUCUCCAAAGUGAACUCAAAGACCUUGAGAAAGUAAUCAGGGAGGCUGAAAGAAUGACGAAAGAUUUAGAAGCAGAAAAAGUCCAAGUAACUGAAAAACCUCAGACUGAUCCUGAAUGUUUAAGACUUAAGAGAGAAUUGGAAAAAUGCAAAGAUGAUAGUUGGGAAAGUGUCUGUGAGACUCUUCAAACAGAAAUUGAAAUUCUGCAAAUGAAUUUGUCACAAAAGAAGUCUUCAGGCAAGUAAAUAACAUGUGAUGUGAUAUGGAGUGUCACAGAAGCAAGUCUGAGUGGAGAAUGAACCAACUGCCUUAAGACAGUCAUCUUCAGUUUGAUAGUGGUUUGUGACACAAGAAAGGAUUUUCCCACUGACUGAGCUGAAGUAAGAGAGAGGGGCCUGUCCUGAAGCUUAUGAAGCCGUCGGAGAAGAAAGAAGAGACAGGAGAGGAACUUCGAGGCAAGAGCCAAGAAGAAGAGCGGCAGCGGCGAGCUCAAGAGUGGAGCAGCGAGGCAAGAGCCAAGAAGAAGAGCAGCGGCGGCAAGCUCAAGAGGGGGCACGACAGAGACCCUCUGGGCAAAGGCACCUCCCUGGCCCCCCCCGGGCAGGGAUCAGUAAGAAUCCGGCGGGCACCUUCAGGCUGCCCCGGUUGGCUUUGCGCUGGGCGACCUCCCUGUAAGCAGGGCUUGGUCUUUGCUUUGCUUUGCUUUGCUGGCCUUUGGCCAUAUGGCGCUCCUUUGGCUGCCCGGAGAGAGGGGCAACCCUGUAAGGAGGGUGAGAGCCCCCGUCUCCGCACCCGAGGGGGGAAACGGAGCUCUCCCGACCCCCAGCCCACCCUUUAAGCGGGGCAGGGCUUUUCCUGGCCCCCAGCCCACCCUUUAAGCGGGGCAGGGCUUUUCCUGGCCCCCAGCCCACCCUGUAAGCAGGGCAGGGCUUUUCCCCCUGGCACCUUUGUGCCUGCUUAUGGCCCCUGGCCAGAGUGACCCCCUGUAGCUGGGGCGUGUCACGGCCUUGGUCCCUGGGCCAGUUGUCAAGCCCCUCAGCGGGCCGAGGCCCCUCUGGCCUC